UACGGAGGGGGCUAGCGUUGUUCGGAAUUACUGGGCGUAAAGCGCACGUAGGCGGAUUUGUCAGUCAGGGGUGAAAUCCCGGGGCUCAACCUCGGAACUGCCUUUGAUACAGCAAGUCUUGAGUUCGAGAGAGGUGGGUGGAAUUCCUAGUGUAGAGGUGAAAUUCGUAGAUAUUAGGAAGAACACCGGUGGCGAAGGCGGCCCACUGGCUCGAUACUGACGCUGAGGUGCGAAAGCGUGGGGAGCAAACAGG
RNAcentral lists this ribosomal RNA (253 nucleotides) under uncultured bacterium. Its description in RNAcentral is "partial 16S ribosomal RNA". It matches the Rfam family "Bacterial small subunit ribosomal RNA", at positions 524 to 776 of the family's 1533-position model. The record is from RNAcentral.